Molecule: ribosomal RNA, 492 nt
Filed under: uncultured bacterium
Lineage: Bacteria
Description: partial 16S ribosomal RNA
Rfam family: Bacterial small subunit ribosomal RNA
Source: RNAcentral
AGUGAACGCUGGCGGUAGGCCUAACACAUGCAAGUCGAACGGCAGCACAGUAAGAGCUUGCUCUUACGGGUGGCGAGUGGCGGACGGGUGAGGAAUACAUCGGAAUCUACUUUUUCGUGGGGGAUAACGUAGGGACACUUACGCUAAUACCGCAUACGACCUACGGGUGAAAGCAGUGGAUCUUCGCACCUUGCGCGUUUGUAUGAGCCGAUGUCGGAUUAGCUAGUUGGCGGGGUAAAGGCCCACCAAGGCGACGAUCCGUAGCUGGUCUGAGAGGAUGAUCAGCCACACUGGAACUGAGACACGGUCCAGACUCCUACGGGAGGCAGCAGUGGGGAAUAUUGGACAAUGGGCGCAAGCCUGAUCCAGCCAUACCGCGUGGGUGAAGAAGGCCUUCGGGUUGUAAAGCCCUUUUGUUGGGAAAGAAAAGCAGCAGGUUAAUACCCCGCUGUUCUGACGGUACCCAAAGAAUAAGCACCGGCUAACUUCGUG